This 2165-nucleotide long non-coding RNA is filed under the name Schizosaccharomyces pombe (fission yeast). The record is from RNAcentral. Lineage: Eukaryota; Fungi; Ascomycota; Schizosaccharomycetes; Schizosaccharomycetales; Schizosaccharomycetaceae.
CAAUUUCGGUUAGAUCACUUGCAACAAAACUUUGUAGGUCAGUGAGCAAUCCACAAGCUUGGAUAACCUUUUUAUAUCUCUCCUCGAUGUACGGAUAAUCAAAUAAGAUAUUGUCUCGUAUAGUGGCAUUUCUCAACCAAGGUACUUGAGAAACAUAGGAAACGCCUUUUGAUCUAGGUAGGUUGUAUGAACCUUUAUUUAAACUGAGUUCUCCCAGUAAUGCGGAAAUUAGCGAACUUUUGCCAGAACCGGUGGGACCUAUUACAAUUGACAGUUUAUUUCUGGGAAACACAAUGUUCAAAUCUCGUAAGCAAAAAUCUCCAGGAGACGGAUUGGAUACCCAAGUUAAAGAAGCAUUGAAAAAACCAAUUUCCUGGGAAGUAUCUUCAAUAGUAUUGACAGGAUCCACUUCAUCGGGGUCAUUUAAAAAGUCAGAAACCCUACCAAUGGAAACGAAAAUUUGAACUAUUUGACGCAUAAGAUAGGCAAUCCAAGAAAAUUGUGUACGAAUGAAAGAAAAUAAGGAUAUAGAGGUAAAAGCUAUUGAUGGUGUAAUAGUUUGGCCCAUUAUGGUAGUAAAAACUACAAAAGUUGCGAACAUACUAAACACAGGAAGUGAUUCAACUAACACCUGUAUACAAAUCUCCAUUAGUAAUAACUUCCAAGUACGAUUGAGUUCGACUUGUCUCCGUUGUUUCACUCGAUCAAGCAUUGGCAAUUCCCAUCCAAAAAAUUUGGUAAUACGGAUGCUCUGCAAUAAUUCUGACAUGAGCUCGAUACGCGAAUCAGUUGCACGAUUAGCUCGCAAUGUAAGCUUUGCGACCAAAGGUCCUAAAACAAUAGGGACGGAACAAGUUAAAACAGUUAACGCUAAACCAACAUACGCACUCCACCCUAAAAGUUUUUGGAGAAGAUAAAUGGAUCCAGCAAUUUCAACAGGCGCACGAACAAUGAUAUGAAUAAACUCACGAAUUUCACCAAUAUCAUCCACAUCAGUAGAAAUUAAAUUGUUGGAUCUUCCAACUUUUGAAUCCCCCGAUUUGUUUUGAACAAAUCGAGAUCGAAUGACUUUGUUGUAUAUUUGCUGUACAAGAGUUGUGUAAGAACGCGCGAGGUAACGAGUCGACAUGAACAAAUAAAACUGGGUAAAAAGAGAAGUGAGAAAGGGGCCAGUUAACAAAAGGACAAUCCAAACCAAUGGAUUAACUGAACUAGAUGAAGGUGAUUCCAAAUGCUUUAGAAGACGAUUUAAGGCAAUAGGAGAAAGAAACUGACAGACGCUGACCAUAAAACUGGAAACACCCAUCCCCAAGAUUUGUCUCCAAAAUAUCUUAUGUAUAGUAAUAAAUAGGGAAGGGGUUUUCAUGCGUUCGAAACGAUAUGUCCAAGCUUUGUUCUUAUCAUAAUCUGGUAUAACCGGAGUAUCGUCAACUUCAACGACACGACGCUUAGCUGUCAAAACUAAUGGAUUCAGGUAUCCAUAGGAGCAUGCAAAAUUGAACAUACUACAGACCUGUUCAGCAGAAGGCUGAUAGUUAUCCUCAGGAAAUAAAGGAUACCAAACACGGGGGGUGAACAAUGGGAUAAAAUUCCCCACAAUGGUAAUAAAAAAGUAAAACCAUAGGAAAGGAGAAUAGCUAGAGAGAGGAGGAUGGUCUACGAAAAAAAAGGGGUAAGAGUAGAAAUGAAAGAUGGGGGGAAGAAGGAGUAAAUUAAGCAAAACUGCUGCAUGAUACAAGGUCGGUCGCGCACGUGGAUAAAUCAUUCGAAGAGAAUGCAAAAGAAACAAAUGGACGGAAUAUGCAAGUAAGCAUAUUUUUACAGGAGGAUCAGAAAAUGCAGUAGGAAAAGCGUCAUUUACAAACAUGAAAGCAGUCAUUCCCAAAAAGAGAAUAGACAGAAGCCAUAACAAAAUUCCAUGAGCUUUUCGCAGCCCUGAAAAUUCACUGCCGACGGUCUGUUUAACAGUAAACGACCGAGUAAUCCAUCGAUAAAUUAAAUACAGAUAUAAACACACAAGACCACUCUCCAAAGAAUAUUUAUACCAUGAUGGUGCCUCAUUUAAGUAAGGUUGAUCAUAAUGUGUAGGAAAAAUAGAUAUCGCAGAUAAAGAAAAAUCUGAAAGGGAAUAGUACAAAGAGGUUGGUACACGACCAACUCCAAAA